RNAcentral lists this ribosomal RNA (465 nucleotides) under Vreelandella stevensii. RNAcentral describes it as "partial 16S ribosomal RNA". It matches the Rfam family "Bacterial small subunit ribosomal RNA", at positions 338 to 795 of the family's 1533-position model. Lineage: Bacteria; Pseudomonadati; Pseudomonadota; Gammaproteobacteria; Oceanospirillales; Halomonadaceae. The record is from RNAcentral.
CCUACGGGAGGCUGCAGUGGGGAAUAUUGGACGAUGGGGGCAACCCUGAUCCAGCCAUGCCGCGUGUGUGAAGAAGGCCCUCGGGUUGUAAAGCACUUUCAGUGAGGAAGAACGCCUGGUGGUUAAUACCCAUCAGGAAAGACAUCACUCACAGAAGAAGCACCGGCUAACUCCGUGCCAGCAGCCGCGGUAAUACGGAGGGUGCGAGCGUUAAUCGGAAUUACUGGGCGUAAAGCGCGCGUAGGUGGCUUGAUAAGCCGGUUGUGAAAGCCCCGGGCUCAACCUGGGAACGGCAUCCGGAACUGUCAAGCUAGAGUGCAGGAGAGGAAGGUAGAAUUCCCGGUGUAGCGGUGAAAUGCGUAGAGAUCGGGAGGAAUACCAGUGGCGAAGGCGGCCUUCUGGACUGACACUGACACUGAGGUGCGAAAGCGUGGGUAGCAAACAGGAUUAGAUACCCCGGUAGUC